This 356-nucleotide ribosomal RNA is filed under the name uncultured bacterium. Its description in RNAcentral is "bacterial SSU rRNA". It matches the Rfam family "Bacterial small subunit ribosomal RNA", at positions 8 to 353 of the family's 1533-position model. The record is from RNAcentral.
AGAGUUUGAUCAUGGCUCAGGAUGAACGCUAGCUACAGGCUUAACACAUGCAAGUCGAGGGGAAACGAUAUUGGAAGCUUGCUUCCGAUAGGCGUCGACCGGCGUACGGGUGAGUAACGCGUAUCCAACCUGCCCACCACUUGGGGAUAACCUUGCGAAAGUAAGACUAAUACCCAAUGACGUCUCUAGAAGACAUCUGAAAGAGAUUAAAGAUUUAUCGGUGAUGGAUGGGGAUGCGUCUGAUUAGCUUGUUGGCGGGGUAACGGCCCACCAAGGCGACGAUCAGUAGGGGUUCUGAGAGGAAGGUCCCCCACAUUGGAACUGAGACACGGUCCAAACUCCUACGGGAGGCACCA